This 1767-nucleotide long non-coding RNA is filed under the name Homo sapiens (human). RNAcentral's name for it is "non-protein coding lnc-IGLL1-1:39". Lineage: Eukaryota; Metazoa; Chordata; Mammalia; Primates; Hominidae. The record is from RNAcentral.
CAGAUUUUCCAGAGUUUUAGGCUCUAGGGACCCCUUUGUUUGCUGUGUCUUAGAUCAUUGAGUCCCUACAAGAACCCUGUGAGGUUCGUCUUCUCACUACUCCCUGUUCCAGAGGAGCCAACCGAGGCUCCGAGAGGUGCAUCUUCAAGACAGAGCCAGUAGGGGACAGAGGCACCUCUGUGUCUUGGAGGGGGAUGGACACUCACCUUCUAACCAGUAGUUCCAAAAAGUGUGGCACAGUGAUAAAGUCCCAGGAGGGGCCCAGGCAGGUGGCAUAGGAGGAGAUGGGUUUAGUUAGAAAGGCUGGAACCAGGGACUCCCAACAGCUUCUCCCCAGUGCCGGGCUGGAAAGUUAGCAUCCUGCAGAUCUCAUUUUCAUACUAGGGGGACAAGGAGGGACAUGGGAGUCAGUGGUAACACCAUGGACCACCAGAGGAUCGGGAUCUGGAACUCACACCAAGAAGCACCAACCCUUCAGGGACUUGUGCAUAUGGAGAACCUGGGUGCCCAUGGUGAAAAGCGUUCUAGGCUUUCAAAGUAACAUUGCAUGUGAGGAUGGAGAAUGAUAAAACGAUUCCUGCCUUCAAGGCAUCGUCCCGGUGUUUGUCAGCUGUGGGGCAACAGCACCCUCUGUGUCAGCAACCUGCAUGAAGAGCAUCAUCCCUGCAAGUCCUCAAGGCCUGGGGAGGCCUCAUCCCCUCCUCAUUUCAGCAACAGCACACAGGACAAUACGCUCUAGAAGAACUCUUUGACUUAAAGGUAUAUGAUUGUUUUUGUUCCUUUAACAUGAACGUGAGUCUGGAGAAACAGCUACGGCCAUCCCAGCCCUGGCCAAGGGGAAAAUGCCGGAAGACUCCAGGGUGGGAGGAAGCGCGUCCCAAGGCCCAGGAUCUGCGAGGCGACUUGGGGAAAACGCAGGCAGGACCUGCUGAAGCUCACACCCGUGGACCACCCAGACUGCCUGCCGCUACAGGAUGCCCUCCGCAUCUCCCAGGACUUCUUUCCGGCAUCAGUGUGGACAUUGACCCCACUGGACUGCAGUCACAGUGGACUCCCAAGGGGCAGGAUCCACCUCUGAUGUUCAGUGAAGACUACCAGAAAAGUCUGCUAGAGCAGUACCAUCUGGGUCUGGAUCAAAAACUCAGAAAAUACGUGGUUGGAGAGCUCAUCUGGAAUUUUGCCGAUUUCAUGACUAACCAGUGUUCCUGCUCCAGCGUGGCUCCUGGACUGGCGCCAGAUGCUGGCCCUGGGGGUUUCAAUCCAAGCAUAAUUCAGUGAAGCAUGUGUUUGGCAGUGGGACCCAGCUCACUGUUUUAGGUCAGCCCAAGACUACCCCGUCGGUCAUUCUGUUCCUGCCGUCCUGUGAGGAGCCCCAAGCCAACAAGGCCACACUGGUGUGUCUCAUGAAUAACUUUAUCCGGGAAUCUUGAUGGUGACCUGGAAGGCAGAUGGUACCCUCAUCACCCAGAGCGUGGAGAAGACCACGCCCUCCAAACAGAGCAACAACAAGUACGUGGCCAGCAGCUACCUGAGCCUGACGCCCGAGCAGUGGAGGUCCCGCAGAAGCUACAGCUGCCAGGUUAUGCAAGAAGGGAGCACCGUGGAGAAGUCAGUGGCCCCUGCAGAAUGUUCAUAGGUUCCAGCCCCCACCCCACCCACAGGGGCCUGGAGCUGCAGGAUCCCAGGGGAGGGGUCUCUCUCUGCAUCCCAAGCCAUUCAGCCCUUCUCGCUGUACCCAGUAAACCCUCAAUAAAUAUCUUUGUCAGC